Molecule: ribosomal RNA, 495 nt
Filed under: uncultured bacterium
Lineage: Bacteria
Description: partial 16S ribosomal RNA
Rfam family: Bacterial small subunit ribosomal RNA
Source: RNAcentral
GACGAACGCUGGCGGCGUGCCUAACACAUGCAAGUAGAACGGUAAGGCAGUAGCUUUCUCUUCUGGAUGAGUUGCGAACGGGUGAGUAACGCGUAGGUAACCUGCCUGGUAGUUGGGGAUAACUAUUGGAAACGAUAGCUAAUACCGCAUAAGAGCAGAUGUUGCAUGACAUUUACUUAAAAGGUGCAAUUGCAUCACUACAAGAUGCACCUGCGUUGUAUUUGCUUGUUGGUGGGGUAACGGCUUACCAAGGCGAGGGUACAGCGCCGACCUGCGAAGGGGGUCAGCCAGACUGGGAGUGUGACACGGCACAGACUCCUUCGGGAAGGAGCCGGAGGGAAACUUCGGCCAUGGGCGGAAAUCUGACCGAGCAACGCCGCGGGAGUGAAGAAGGUCUUCGGGUCGUAAAGGUCUGUUUUAAGGGAAGAACGAGCGUGAGAGUGGAAAGUUCACGCUGUGACGGUAUCUUACCAAAAAGGAACGGCUAACUACGUG